Camelina sativa (false flax) is the source of this 1449-nucleotide non-coding RNA. NCBI's taxonomy places the organism in Eukaryota, Viridiplantae, Streptophyta, Magnoliopsida, Brassicales, Brassicaceae. The record is from RefSeq and is a predicted model, not a curated record.
AAUUCUCCUAUCUCCCUCUUGGUUGAUAGUCUCACACACUUCUCUUCGUUCUUCAUCAAUCUUCAUAGAUUGAGGUUCUCCAUCUUGUGAAUAUCCUUUUCAUCAAACCUUAAGUCUCCAAAAUUAAUGUCACCGAACUUGAUGUCUUGUGAUUUUCUAAAUAGAGCUUGCUCAGGUUUGAACCAUUGAUGUUGGAAGCUUUUUGAGGAGACGACCCAUCACGUAUAUCAUGAGCCACCACCAUUGAGGUUUCUCUAAUAGAAGACAUCUUGAGAUGGAAAUUGUACUUGAUCAUUUGAACUUCAGCAAUACUCUUCCCAGCUUUGUCAGGAAUGACACAGUUGUGUUGUUUAAAUACAACUUCAUAUCCAUUCUCAAUCAUCAGGAAAAAACUCAACAAAAUUUUGGUGAUUUCAGAUUCUGAAGAGCAAAUGCUUGUUUGGAGUCAUGUGGUGAGUGCAUCCACUGUCAAUGAGCCAAGUAUCCUUUUCAAACGAUUCUUGAGUUGCUAGUCUUGCUGUGAACAUUUGAUAUUCUUGUUCUUCUACCUCUUUUACCUCCUCAGGUUCUUGUUCUUGAUUUACUUGAGCUUGUUAAGAUUUUCUGUUUUUGCAAUCUCUCAUGAUAUGCCCUUGCUUCCCACAAUUGAAACAGCUUAUAGUUUCUCUGUUGCUGAAGUUAUUGUUGUUGUUGACUUCAGGCAUGUUUCUCCCAUGCUUGAUAAAUCAGACAUCUUCAUUAUGAGUGUCUCUUUUACAAAAACCGCACCACCUUUUUUCUCUCUCAAGCCAUACUGACUUGAGCUUUCCCUCUCAUUGCCUUUUGAUUUAUGGUUAUUGAAAUGUGCCACAAACACUUCAUCUAUGUCUUCUUCUUCAUCUGGAAAAAUCUUUUUCUCAUGAGAUUCAAGAGAGCCAAUAAUCUCAGUAUAGGUAACAAUUCUUAGAUCUUUUGUUUCCUCCAUAAGAGAUGAUAAAGAAGCAUAACUUUUUGGCAUGGAAACCAAUACCUUGACAACCAAAUUAUAAUCAGAUCUACCUUCUCCUAAAGCCCUCAUUUGAUUACCAACAACUUGAAUUCUAUCCGAGAGUAUUCCAGAGAUCCCAUGCUUGUUUGGCCAUUGUUGCAUAGAGGAUUUUGUCGAAGAUAGACUCAGCAACCGCAUGUUUAAUGAUCUGAAGAGCGGAAGUAUCUUUCGACUCACUACAAGAAAAUCGUCUAUUCUUAGCAUCAGAAAAACACUAUCGAACAAUAUUAUAGCGUUUAGUAAACGCUCUAUCAUCGCCUGCGAUAAUAGGUCAGACACAUUAGAUAGCACUUUAAUACAUGCUAUUGUGUCUUCAUCAAAUAUUGCGUUUUUUACUGUGCAAUUGUAUAUUGAGUAAUAGCAAUUGUACUUUGCUAUAAAUUGUUACACUAAAUUUUAUUGAAAUUACAAUUUUCUGGAUU